CAGCAGCCACGGUAAUACGAAGGGUGCAAGCGUUAAUCGGAAUUACUGGGCGUAAAGCGUGCGUAGGCGGUUUGUUAAGUCUGUUGUGAAAUCCCCGGGCUCAACCUGGGAAUGGCAAUGGAUACUGGCAAGCUAGAGUGUGUCAGAGGAUGGUGGAAUUCCCGGUGUAGCGGUGAAACGCGUAGAGAUCGGGAGGAACAUCAGUGGCGAAGGCGGCCAUCUGGGACAACACUGACGCUGAGGCACGAAAGCGUGGGGAGCAAACAGGAUUAGAUACCCCCGUAGUCCCUGUCUCUUAUAA
This 301-nucleotide ribosomal RNA is filed under the name uncultured bacterium. RNAcentral's name for it is "partial 16S ribosomal RNA". It matches the Rfam family "Bacterial small subunit ribosomal RNA", at positions 509 to 809 of the family's 1533-position model. The record is from RNAcentral.